RNAcentral lists this transfer RNA (72 nucleotides) under Heliconius melpomene (postman butterfly). RNAcentral's name for it is "tRNA HMEL006901". It matches the Rfam family "tRNA". From Rfam's summary of the family: Transfer RNA (tRNA) molecules are approximately 80 nucleotides in length. Their secondary structure includes four short double-helical elements and three loops (D, anti-codon, and T loops). Further hydrogen bonds mediate the characteristic L-shaped molecular structure. tRNAs have two regions of fundamental functional importance: the anti-codon, which is responsible for specific mRNA codon recognition, and the 3' end, to which the tRNAs corresponding amino acid is attached (by aminoacyl-tRNA synthetases). tRNAs cope with the degeneracy of the genetic code in two manners: having more than one tRNA (with a specific anti-codon) for a particular amino acid; and 'wobble' base-pairing, i.e. permitting non-standard base-pairing at the 3rd anti-codon position. The record is from RNAcentral. Lineage: Eukaryota; Metazoa; Arthropoda; Insecta; Lepidoptera; Nymphalidae.
GAACAUAUGGCUUAGUGGUCAGAGCGCUUGUACGGUUUCCAAGAGAUGUGGGUUCUAGUCCCGCUACGUUUA